AUUGAACGCUGGCGGCAUGCCUUACACAUGCAAGUCGAACGGCAGCACGGGUGCUUGCACCUGGUGGCGGGUGGCGAACGGGUGAGUAAUACAUCGGAACGUACCUUAUCGUGGGGGAUAACGCAGCGAAAGCUGUGCUAAUACCGCAUACGCCCUGAGGGGGAAAGCGGGGGAUCGAAAGACCUCGCGCGAUUAGAGCGGCCGAUGCCUGAUUAGCGUGUUGGUGGGGUAAAAGCCCACCAAGGCGACGAUCAGUAGCUGGUCUGAGAGGACGAUCAGCCACACUGGGACUGAGACACGGCCCAGACUCCUACGGGAGGCAGCAGUGGGGAAUUUUGGACAAUGGGGGCAACCCUGAUCCAGCAAUGCCGCGUGAGUGAAGAAGGCCUUCGGGUUGUAAAGCCCUUUUGUCAGGGAAGAAACACCGGCUCUAACACAGUCCGGGAAUGACGGUACCUGAAGAAUAAGCACCGGCUAACUACGUGCCAGCAGCCGCCGCAG
RNAcentral lists this ribosomal RNA (501 nucleotides) under uncultured bacterium. RNAcentral describes it as "partial 16S ribosomal RNA". It matches the Rfam family "Bacterial small subunit ribosomal RNA", at positions 29 to 523 of the family's 1533-position model. The record is from RNAcentral.